ACUCCUGCGGGAGGCAGCAGUGAGGAAUAUUGGACAAUGGGUGGAAGCCUGAUCCAGCCAUCCCGCGUGCAGGAAGACGGCCCUAUGGGUUGUAAACUGCUUUUAUCUGGGGAUAAACCUACUUACGUGUAAGUAGCUGAAGGUACCAGAAGAAUAAGCACCGGCUAACUCCGUGCCAGCAGCCGCGGUAAUACGGAGGGUGCAAGCGUUAUCCGGAUUUAUUGGGUUUAAAGGGUCCGUAGGCGGACUGAUAAGUCAGUGGUGAAAUCCGACAGCUUAACUGUCGAACUGCCAUUGAUACUGUUAGUCUUGAGUAAGGUUGAAGUGGCUGGAAUAAGUAGUGUAGCGGUGAAAUGCAUAGAUAUUACUUAGAACACCAAUUGCGAAGGCAGGUCACUAAGUCUUAACUGACGCUGAUGGACGAAAGCGUGGGGAGCGAACAGGAUUAGAAACCCGGGUAGUCCCA
Molecule: ribosomal RNA, 466 nt
Filed under: uncultured organism
Description: partial 16S ribosomal RNA
Rfam family: Bacterial small subunit ribosomal RNA
Source: RNAcentral